UACAGAGGCCUCGAGCGUUAGGCGGAAUCACUGGGCUUAAAGCGUGUGUAGGUGGAUGCCUAAGUACCUUGUGAAAUCCCACGGCUUAACCAUGGAAUUGCUUGGUAUACUGGGUGUCUUGAGCCACUCAGGGGCUACCGGAACAAGCGGUGGAGCGGUGAAAUGCGUAGAUAUCGCUUGGAACGCCAAAGGUGAAAACAGGUAGCUGGGGGUGUGCUGACACUGAGACACGAAAGCCAGGAGAGCAAACGGG
This 253-nucleotide ribosomal RNA is filed under the name uncultured prokaryote. Its description in RNAcentral is "partial 16S ribosomal RNA". It matches the Rfam family "Bacterial small subunit ribosomal RNA", at positions 524 to 776 of the family's 1533-position model. The record is from RNAcentral.